This 201-nucleotide long non-coding RNA is filed under the name Nicotiana benthamiana. RNAcentral's name for it is "long non-coding RNA (NBEN_LNC012514)". The record is from RNAcentral. Lineage: Eukaryota; Viridiplantae; Streptophyta; Magnoliopsida; Solanales; Solanaceae.
GAGCUUGACCUUUGAUUGCAGUUCUAGGCUGGAAUGAUAUAUCUUGUUCUCCUAAUUCUAUUGCCCACUUGGUCAUCUGACCUAAAGCCUCAGGCUUUGUCAAAGUGGUUGAUCAGUAAGAACACAAAUAGGAUUGGAUGAAAAGUAAGGCCUCAACUUCCGAGCUGCAUGGACUAGAGCCAAGACCAGUUUCACUGCACU